Molecule: ribosomal RNA, 294 nt
Filed under: uncultured bacterium
Lineage: Bacteria
Description: partial 16S ribosomal RNA
Rfam family: Bacterial small subunit ribosomal RNA
Source: RNAcentral
GCCUACGGGAGGCAGCAGUGAGGAAUAUUGGUCAAUGGGCGCGAGCCUGAACCAGCCAAGUCGCGUGAGGGAGGACGGCCCUACGGGCUGUAAACCUCUUUUGCCGGGGAGCAACGGGCGUCACGUGUGGCGCCACUGAGAGUACCCGGAGAAAAAGCAUCGGCUAACUCCGUGCCAGCAGCCGCGGUAAUACGGAGGAUGCGAGCGUUAUCCGGAUUUAUUGGGUUUAAAGGGUGCGUAGGCGGUUCGUUAAGUCAGUGGUCAAAUUGAGGGGCUCAACCCCUUCCCGCCAUU